CCUACGGGUGGCAGCAGUAGGGAAUUUUCGUCAAUGGGCGCAAGCCUGAACGAGCGAUGCCGCGUGAGUGAAGAAGGCCUUCGGGUCGUAAAGCUCUGUUGCGGGGGAAAAAAGGCAGCAUCAGGAAAUGGGUGCUGACUGAUGGUGCCCCGCCAGAAAGUCACGGCUAACUACGUGCCAGCAGCCGCGGUAAUACGUAGGUGGCGAGCGUUAUCCGGAAUGAUUGGGCGUAAAGGGUGCGCAGGCGGUCCUGCAAGUCUGGAGUGAAACGCAUGAGCUCAACUCAUGCAUGGCUUUGGAAACUGGAGGACUGGAGAGCAGGAGAGGGCGGUGGAACGCCAUGUGUAGCGGUAAAAUGCGUAGAUAUAUGGAAGAACACCGAUUGCGAAGGCAGCUCACUGGACUGCAACUGACACUGAGGCUCGAAAGUGUGGGUAUCAAACAGGAUUAGAUACCCCAGUAGUC
RNAcentral lists this ribosomal RNA (465 nucleotides) under uncultured bacterium. RNAcentral describes it as "partial 16S ribosomal RNA". It matches the Rfam family "Bacterial small subunit ribosomal RNA", at positions 338 to 795 of the family's 1533-position model. The record is from RNAcentral.